GUCUACGGUCAUGCUACCCUGAACAAGCCCGAUCCUGUCUGAUCUCAGAAGCUAAGCAGGUUAGUACCUGGAUGGGAGACCACCUAGGAAGACCAGGUGCUGUAGGCA
This 108-nucleotide ribosomal RNA is filed under the name Pteropus alecto (black flying fox). The record is from RNAcentral. Lineage: Eukaryota; Metazoa; Chordata; Mammalia; Chiroptera; Pteropodidae.